Molecule: ribosomal RNA, 357 nt
Filed under: uncultured bacterium
Lineage: Bacteria
Description: bacterial SSU rRNA
Rfam family: Bacterial small subunit ribosomal RNA
Source: RNAcentral
ACCGGUCCUUCGGGACCGGGGAAAGCGGCGAACGGGUGAGUAACACGUGAGUAAUCCACCCUCGGCACUGGGAUAGCCCGGGGAAACCCGGAUUAAUACCGGAUGGCCCAACAGCUCUUCGGGGCGGUUGGAAAAGGUAGCUUUGGCCUCCGGCCGAGGACGAGCUCGCGGCGGAUUAGCUUGUUGGUGGGGUAACGGCCUACCAAGGCGACGAUCCGUAGCUGGUCUGAGAGGACGAUCAGCCACACUGGGACUGAGACACGGCCCAGACUCCUACGGGAGGCAGCAGUGGGGAAUCUUGCGCAAUGGGCGAAAGCCUGACGCAGCGACGCCGCGUGAGGGAAGAAGGCUUUCGGG